UAAAAGGAGUGAAAAAUCAGAUGGAACACAUGAGUGAUAAGGUGGACCGCAUAGAUGCAUUCUUGAAACAAAAGUUUCCUGGAGAGGAUUGGAUAACCAAAAUGGUGGCAUCAAAAAAUGAUAAUCCUGUGCAUAUUGAGAAUCGUAGUACAGGAAAUAAGAGCUAUGCAGGUUUAGCUUUACGUCGUGAGUACCUAACAAAACUAGUACAGGUAUGUCCAGAGCAUGACUUGAAGUAACUUGACAGUACAGCUUCCUAUGGACAACAAAAUUACAUGUUGAUGAUUCAUUUCUAUUACAGGGAUCUCAAAACAAAAAAGUAGCGGAUCAUAGUCGGCCAGUAUCCGAACAAAAGCAAGUCUAUUUGAUGUCAAUGAGGCAUGAAAACAAAGCUGUGGCCAAAGGAAAUUUAGUGGCUACCGAUAGCACACAUGUGGUCGGUGGAAACAUGCUUGGAAAUGAAUAUGUCGCUGUUGCUGUUCAUGUUGUCAGUGACAUUGGGGAUGAGAAUUUGCCUAGACCAUUUGAAAAUAUUCACACAGUAAGAGAUGCCAUAGGCUAUGUUAUUGCUUGGCCAAAAUCACGUGUGAGAAGGCCUAAGAUCUCAACUCCAAGACGUGCAUGACAACUUGG
This is a long non-coding RNA of Panicum virgatum (switchgrass), 633 nucleotides long. RefSeq lists it as uncharacterized. The transcript has 4 exons. The record is from RefSeq and is a predicted model, not a curated record. Lineage: Eukaryota; Viridiplantae; Streptophyta; Magnoliopsida; Poales; Poaceae.